UAAUGGAAAUUUGAAAUUUUUGGCGGUUAACAUUUAUGAUUAGGGGAGCUUGUUAAUAAUUAGAAUUAGCUCAUUAUAUUUAAAGAAUAAAAAUUUAGUUUAUUUAUUUCCGUUAUUAAAAUUUAUAAAUUUUUAUAUUUUAUUUAUUUAAUUAAUUUCAGGUCAAGAUGUAGUAUUUAUUAAAAUUAAUUAGCUACAAUUUUAAAAAAUUGGAUUUAUGAAAGUUUAGAUAUAUUGAAAUUGAACUUAGUUGUAAUUAUUUUUAUUAAAAGGUUAUGAAAUAGGGGGUUU
RNAcentral lists this ribosomal RNA (291 nucleotides) under Stygnomma sp. DNA104850. RNAcentral's name for it is "partial 12S ribosomal RNA". Lineage: Eukaryota; Metazoa; Arthropoda; Arachnida; Opiliones; Stygnommatidae. The record is from RNAcentral.